AACGUAGGACACAAGCGUUAUCCGGAGUUACUGGGCGUAAAGGGCGUGUAGGCGGAGGUGUAAGUCUAUUCUGAAAGCUCCUGGCUAAACUGGGAGAGGCGAAUGGAGACUGCAUCUCUAGAGUGAGGAAGAGGGAAGCGGAAUUUCCGGUGUAGCGGUGAAAUGCGUAGAUAUCGGAAGGAACACCAGUGGCGAAAGCGGCUUCCUGGUCCAGCACCGACGUUCAGGCACGAAAGCGUGGGGAGCAAACAGG
Molecule: ribosomal RNA, 253 nt
Filed under: uncultured bacterium
Lineage: Bacteria
Description: partial 16S ribosomal RNA
Rfam family: Bacterial small subunit ribosomal RNA
Source: RNAcentral